Molecule: long non-coding RNA, 560 nt
Organism: Triplophysa dalaica
Lineage: Eukaryota; Metazoa; Chordata; Actinopteri; Cypriniformes; Nemacheilidae
Exons: 2
Source: RefSeq, a predicted model, not a curated record
CAACACCUCACUUCUCUAUAAAAGUGCUGUAUUGAUAGCAGUUCACACAUUUUCGCUGUACACGAAAAGGACCAGACAACUAAAAACUGCCAUCAAGAAUUAGCACACAAUUGGCAGAAAAAUAACUGAAGAUGGGGGCUGGUGGAAGUAACGAGGAUCCGGUUGAUCGGGCACAGCGUCGAGCUGAGAAAGAAAGCAACCGGGCAGACCAGGCUGACCAGGCAUACCGUCGAGCUGAGGCAGAACGCAACCGGGCUGAGCAAGGACGACAACAAAUCCAGGAUCAAUUUAAUAUUUUACGACAAGAGAAAGAGAUAGCGAGAAUGAAAGAAGAAGACAAGAGGAAAGUGACUGAAGAGAAUAGGUCUAGAGAACAACAAGAAAAGAACAGAAUUCAAAAUAGUUCUUAAUUAAUAUUACUACUAAUACUGAAAUCCUUUUAAUGUAUAAUCAAAACUUUGUUUAUGAACUAGAAAUACCACAUGGCACAGUUAUUAAUAUGCAAUGGAAAAUUAAUUAUUGAGAAAUUUUACCAAUAAAGCCAACAUCAUUUCUUAAAA